UACGAAGGGGGCUAGCGUUGCUCGGAAUCACUGGGCGUAAAGCGCACGUAGGCGGAUUCCUAAGUCGGUGGUGAAAUCCUGGAGCUCAACUCCAGAACUGCCUCCGAUACUGAGAGUCUCCGAGUCCGGGAGAGGUGAGUGGAAUUCCGAGUGUAGAGGUGAAAUUCGUAGAUAUUCGGAGGAACACCAGUGGCGAAGGCGGCUCACUGGUCCAUUACUGACGCUGAGGUGCGAAAGCGUGGGGAGCAAACAGG
RNAcentral lists this ribosomal RNA (254 nucleotides) under uncultured bacterium. Its description in RNAcentral is "partial 16S ribosomal RNA". It matches the Rfam family "Bacterial small subunit ribosomal RNA", at positions 524 to 776 of the family's 1533-position model. The record is from RNAcentral.